This 245-nucleotide ribosomal RNA is filed under the name uncultured bacterium. RNAcentral's name for it is "partial 16S ribosomal RNA". It matches the Rfam family "Bacterial small subunit ribosomal RNA", at positions 796 to 1041 of the family's 1533-position model. The record is from RNAcentral.
CACGCAGUAAACGAUGAAUACUAGCUGUAUGCGAUAUACUGUAUGUGGCAAAGCGAAAGCGUUAAGUAUUCCACCUGGGGAGUACGUUCGCAAGAAUGAAACUCAAAGGAAUUGACGGGGACCCGCACAAGCGGUGGAUGAUGUGGUUUAAUUCGAUGCAACGCGAAAAACCUUACCCACCUUUGACAUGUACGGAAUCCUUUAGAGAUAGAGGAGUGCUCGAAAGAGAGCCGUAACACAGGUGC